This 271-nucleotide ribosomal RNA is filed under the name uncultured bacterium. RNAcentral describes it as "partial 16S ribosomal RNA". It matches the Rfam family "Bacterial small subunit ribosomal RNA", at positions 524 to 794 of the family's 1533-position model. The record is from RNAcentral.
UACGUAGGGGGCAAGCGUUGUCCGGAUUUAUUGGGCGUAAAGAGCGUGUAGGCGGCCAUGCAGGUCCGUUGUGAAAACUCGAGGCUCAACCUCGAGCUGUCGAUGGAAACCGUGUGGCUAGAGUCCGGAAGAGGAGAGUGGAAUUCCUGGUGUAGCGGUGAAAUGCGCAGAUAUCAGGAAGAACACCCGUGGCGAAGGCGGCUCUCUGGGACGGUACUGACGCUGAGACGCGAAAGCGUGGGGAGCAAACAGGAUUAGAAACCCCUGUAGU